This 624-nucleotide ribosomal RNA is filed under the name Inocybe mixtilis. RNAcentral describes it as "eukaryotic LSU rRNA". It matches the Rfam family "Eukaryotic large subunit ribosomal RNA", at positions 1 to 613 of the family's 3401-position model. Lineage: Eukaryota; Fungi; Basidiomycota; Agaricomycetes; Agaricales; Inocybaceae. The record is from RNAcentral.
UUGACCUCAAAUCAGGUAGGACUACCCGCUGAACUUAAGCAUAUCAAUAAGCGGAGGAAAAGAAACUAACAAGGAUUCCCCUAGUAACUGCGAGUGAAGCGGGAAAAGCUCAAAUUUGAAAUCUGAUGGUUUUUGACCGUCCGAGUUGUAAUCUAGAGAAGUGUUUACCCGUGCUGGACUGUGUACAAGUCUCCUGGAAUGGGGCAUCGUAGAGGGUGAGAAUCCCGUCUUUGACACGGACUGCCAGUGCACUAUGGGUGUGCUCUCGAAGAGUCGAGUUGUUUGGGAAUGCAGCUCAAAAUGGGUGGUAAAUGCCAUCUAAAGCUAAAUAUUGGCGAGAGACCGAUAGCGAACAAGUACCGUGAGGGAAAGAUGAAAAGAACUUUGGAAAGAGAGUUAAACAGUACGUGAAAUUGCUGAAAGGGAAACGCUUGAAGUCAGUCGCGUUGGCCAGAAAUCAGCCUUGCUUUUGCUUGGUGUAUUUUCUUGUCUUUACGGGUCAGCAUCAAUCUUGACCAUUGGAUAAGGUCUGUGGGAAUGUGGCAUCUUUGGAUGUGUUAUAGCCCAUGGUCGCAUACGGUGGUUGGGAUUGAGGAACUCAGCACGCCCGCGAGGGACGGGUUU